GAUGAAGAACGCAGCGAAAUGCGAUAAGUAAUGUGAAUUGCAGAAUUCAGUGAAUCAUCGAAUCUUUGAACGCACAUUGCGCCCGCCAGUAUUCUGGCGGGCAUGCCUGUUCGAGCGUCAUUACAACCCUCAGGCCCCCGGGCCUGGCGUUGGGGAUCGGCGGAGCGCCCCCUGCGGGCACACGCCGUCCCCCAAAUACAGUGGCGGUCCCGCCGCAGCUUCCAUUGCGUAGUAGCUAACACCUCGCAACUGGAGAGCGGCGCGGCCACGCCGUAAAACACCCAACUUCUGAAUGUUGACCUCGAAUCAGGUAGGAAUACCCGCUGAACUUAAGCAUAUCAUAAGCGGAGGA
This 352-nucleotide unclassified non-coding RNA is filed under the name soil metagenome. Its description in RNAcentral is "partial contains 5.8S ribosomal RNA, internal transcribed spacer 2, and large subunit ribosomal RNA". The stretch from base 1 to 120 matches the Rfam family "5.8S ribosomal RNA", at positions 35 to 154 of the family's 154-position model. The record is from RNAcentral.